GACAGAGGGUGCAAACGUUGUUCGGAAUUACUGGGCGUAAAGGGCUCGUAGGCGGUCCGUCACGUCGGGAGUGAAAUCCUGGGGCUUAACCCCAGAACUGCUUCCGAUACGGGCAGACUAGAGGUAGGUAGGGGAGAAUGGAAUUCCUGGUGUAGCGGUGGAAUGCGCAGAUAUCAGGAGGAACACCAGUGGCGAAGGCGGUUCUCUGGGCCUUACCUGACGCUGAGGAGCGAAAGCGUGGGGAGCAAACAGG
RNAcentral lists this ribosomal RNA (253 nucleotides) under uncultured bacterium. RNAcentral's name for it is "partial 16S ribosomal RNA". It matches the Rfam family "Bacterial small subunit ribosomal RNA", at positions 524 to 776 of the family's 1533-position model. The record is from RNAcentral.